UGCUGAAUUAGACCUAGUGGGCAU
RNAcentral lists this microRNA (24 nucleotides) under Oryza sativa (Asian cultivated rice). Its description in RNAcentral is "osa-miR1870-5p". RNAcentral also lists the same sequence under 1 other name. The record is from miRBase by way of RNAcentral. Lineage: Eukaryota; Viridiplantae; Streptophyta; Magnoliopsida; Poales; Poaceae.